This 254-nucleotide ribosomal RNA is filed under the name uncultured bacterium. RNAcentral describes it as "partial 16S ribosomal RNA". It matches the Rfam family "Bacterial small subunit ribosomal RNA", at positions 524 to 776 of the family's 1533-position model. The record is from RNAcentral.
UACAGAGGGUGCGAGCGUUGUUCGGAAUUACUGGGCGUAAAGCGCGCGCAGGCGGCUCUUUAAGUCCGCUGGUCAAAGACCGGGGCUCAACCCCGCGUCAGCCAGGGAUACUGGAGGGCUGGAGACAGGUAGAGGCAAGCGGAAUUCCGGGUGUAGCGGUGGAAUGCGUAGAGAUCCGGAAGAACACCGGAGGCGAAGGCGGCUUGCUGGACCUGGUCUGACGCUGAGGCGCGAAAGCGUGGGGAGCGAACAGG